Molecule: transfer RNA, 69 nt
Filed under: Marmota monax (woodchuck)
Lineage: Eukaryota; Metazoa; Chordata; Mammalia; Rodentia; Sciuridae
Description: tRNA.Ala
Rfam family: tRNA (bases 7-64)
About the family: Transfer RNA (tRNA) molecules are approximately 80 nucleotides in length. Their secondary structure includes four short double-helical elements and three loops (D, anti-codon, and T loops). Further hydrogen bonds mediate the characteristic L-shaped molecular structure. tRNAs have two regions of fundamental functional importance: the anti-codon, which is responsible for specific mRNA codon recognition, and the 3' end, to which the tRNAs corresponding amino acid is attached (by aminoacyl-tRNA synthetases). tRNAs cope with the degeneracy of the genetic code in two manners: having more than one tRNA (with a specific anti-codon) for a particular amino acid; and 'wobble' base-pairing, i.e. permitting non-standard base-pairing at the 3rd anti-codon position.
Source: RNAcentral
GGCCUAUGGCUCAGUUGGUAGAGUGCUUGCCUUGCAUGCACAAGGCCCUGGGUUCAAUCCCCAGCACCA